Molecule: long non-coding RNA, 1931 nt
Organism: Rana temporaria (common frog)
Lineage: Eukaryota; Metazoa; Chordata; Amphibia; Anura; Ranidae
Exons: 2
Source: RefSeq, a predicted model, not a curated record
AGCUGAUUUGGCUACCAUGCAGAGCUGCGCCAGAUUUUGCACUCUUCGGUUUUAGUAAAUCAACAUCACUGUGUGUCACACCCUUUAGUGAAUCAUCCGAAAAAUCUGGAGUCAUUUUAAAAGACCUUUCAUCAUUACUGUUUCCUGUAGUUUAGUCUUCAGACUUCAGCUGGUGAUUUCUCUUGAUUUAGAGUGGAGUAUCGUGGCAUGAGCAGCAGGAGACGUGAGUAUUUAAUUAAUUUUACAGGUACGGCUUUGAUUAAAAAAAAUAAUAAAAUAGGUUUAAUGAUAAACUCGCUUUAACAUAAUAUACGGUACAUAAAAGUCAAGGGAAAGUGUGACCCCUUAAGGUAUUAAACCCCAAAAACAGAAAUAUAUAUUGUAGCUAACCAAUUUUUAUAUUUUGCUUAUUUUAUAUAAUGCACCUUAUCAAUCCUGAAAUGUGAUGGCUGCAUUUGAUUUUCCGUUUACCAGCUUGUGACUUGUCUCCUGUCCUAUUGUGUUUCAACUCUGGAUCGGAGUAAUGGAGGCACCUUUGGACGGCAGCAUUUCGUUAUCUCGUUUUUGCUAGGAGACCACCCUGGAUCAGUCGCUGGUUGUGGGUGGGUGGGUGGUUGUGUGGGCAAGUAGAAAAGGAUUCCUCCAGCAAAUUGUGCCCAGUAUUAGAUCAUGGCAAUAAAACAUUUUGGGGUUUGGGUUGUUGCCUUAUGGUUGUUUCCACGUGUAGACUUGGGAAAAGUAGGAAAAACGGAGCGCCCGGUGUCCAGAAAAAUGCGAAUUGGAAAGUAAGGCAAAAGCUGUUUGUUAAAAGUAGUGACAAGAACAUUGGGCCAACGACCUUCAAGGUAAAGGACCCCCUCCCCCUUUCUUCAGAGCUUUUGCUGCAUGCUAUUAAAUGGAGGGGGGAGAAAGAUAAAGAUUCCUAAGCCGGAUAUAUAUAUUUGCGUGGUAUCAGUGAGAAGAAUAACUUCUGUGCUGGCAGGUGCAGCAACUGCAACCACAGCUGUCAGCCUGCUCUGAUACCAUGCAAAUCCAGUUGUGUCGUACCGUCCCUCCCCCACAUCCAAAAAACGCAUUGACUCAAUGUACUUGUCUCUACUUUUAAUAAACACUUUUUAACCUCCCUUCCAUUUUGCAUUUUUUUAUUUACUUUUGCAAUUCUGUUAGGGGAGGGUAAGUGUUGGAUGCACCAGCAGAUUUUAGAUGGAUUUGACUGACCAAAAAAAUCUGAACUCCAGCUAAUGCUGCUACAAUUUUAUUUUACCUUUUUGGAGUAAAGGUUUUUACCCAAAUUAUUAAAGUUGACCAUUGUAAGCACCCCUGUCUGUGUUAAAUUGGUUGCCUCAACCCGCUAACAGACUAAGCUGUCCAACAAAAGUGUCAGAGGAAGUUAAAAAAUAAAAUGUACUGGCAGGACCAACAGGUGAAAAUAAAAGAAAACUAAUCUAAAUGCCACUUUUAUAUAAUUGGUAAGCUACAACAACAUUUUUGUUUUUUGGUUUAAUAGCGCUUGGAAGGUUGGAACGCCUGGGGAGACUUUUUUUUUUUUUUUUUUUGGUGCACAGGCUUUAACCCAAUAUAUAUUAUUAGUAGGGACUCGUUUCCAAAACUUUUGUACAGCUCCAUGCGAAAAUGUUAGAAUUGAAAGGGAUUGGAUGCUGUGGGCUUUCUGAGGAGCGACUUGUAGCCUUUGGUAAAACCUAUGCAUGUAUCUGGUCCAUCAUCAAUAUUGAGACUAAACUGACAGGAUGAAUCCUCACUCUUGCCCGAGUUGUGCUAUACACAGGUUUGGCUUAUCCCUCAUUAGAAACAGCUUGAAUUGGUUUAAUUUAUUUUCUAGUAUUUCCCAGUAUUAGUUUUCUACCUCCAAACUGUGAAGUUGUAAAAUAAAUUAAUUUUUUAUUGUGAUAAAAUAAAAGUUUAUUUUUAUA